ACUGUCUAUUCUGCAUCUAACUUUCAAAAUACUCUUUUCCUUUUGCAGUGAAUGACUCUCUGCCGCAUCUCCUUUGCUGUGUGUCUUUUGUUUAAAUUCUUUUAAACUAAGAAGACAAGAACCGAGGUAUCACAACAGCCAUUAACAGAAGUAUUGGGUGUUGCAAUUGGAAUCCUAAUAACCAACAGUGAGAGUUGGCCUACGCCCUUCACAGAGGGCAGUGGAUACAGAAGUUAGCCUGGUGAAGCAAGGGGGGCACAAUGAAGGAAAAGUGUCCUCAGCCCAGGGAUCUCCUGUUUCAGGGCUGGAUACGAGAAAGGAGGCCAGUGUGGUACACUGAAGAGACUUAAAUAACUAAGUAAAGCAAGUAUGUGGGGUUGGAGGCGGAGGAAUGUCAGGAAUGAGAUGGAGGCAGGGGCCGCAUAGUGAGUAGUGCUUUAAAAUUCAUGUUAGGGAGUUUGGUUUUUAUCCAAAGGGCAAUGAGAAGAAAAACAAAAACAAAAACAAAGAUUUUAAGCAGGCGCCACAGGAUCAGGCUUGCAUUUGAAAAUGCUCUCCAGCUCUUGCCCUGUCAAGAAUGGAUUAGAGGGAAACAAUACUGGGUGCAAGGAGAAUGUCAAGAAAACAGCAAAGUUCGUCUUAUUGAGGCAUCCAGUAAAGCUCCACAGAGAAAUCAUUCCCUCGUGUCUCUUCUGCACUCGGCCUUGGCAGGAUAAGAUGAAGAGGACGCAGUCCCUACCUCAGGUGCUAUAUCCUGAGGUUACUCAGGAGGGAACAGGAGAGCUACAAAUCCAGACACGUGUUCUCCAGCUCCUCUAAGUUGAAUUUAUCAAGGAGACAAAACAGGACCCAGGAUCACUACCUGCAACUCCCUUAAUUGUAACCUACUUUCCGAUAAAAAUUACAUGCUUUUGAAACCAGCAAUAAUAAACUGAAAUGCACGAACAGUCAACACAAUGACAAAAUGUACUCUGCAGCGAUUGAGGAGACAUUGUUACAUCUUUUAAAAUCAAUCUGUGAUCUGCCUCUACAGGAGAUGAAUGAAAGUGCAUAGAAGACAAAAGAAUGUGAUAAUAACAGAGAUAAUACUCAGCCCCAGUACAUCCAAUCUUUUGUUGGGUCAAUAACCAUUUGAAAAGGAACUAUGGAUUUUGUGCCUAAUAGAAAUGAGAGGACAGCUCCAAGAUAAUUUGAAUAUUUCUUUCCCUUUUUUCCUUUUCCUUCCUAUGCUGGAAAUAAAAAGGUUGAUGUCAACAUAUUUCUUAGAACAUAGAGUUCCUUAAAACCGAACAUGUCUGGGAUGACCAAAUCCCUUCCCAAUCCCACAGGUUUCUCUUUGAUAGACCUACAGUGAAAACUAGCAGCAUCCUGACUUCCCAGGGGCCGCUGUGGCAGCACCUUCCUGGCAACAGAACAUACAAUGAACACACUAAUGUGGUAAUGAACUGACAUCCAGAGAACAGACCAGAAAUUGCUGGAGGCAGGAAGCGGGGAAUUUGAGGUGGCAAAAAAGAAGAGCAUCCUUCACACAAACCUGCUAUCUCUAUUCUUUGUGCAAUUAAUCAUUUUAGAAACUAGCAAAAGACAAUGAUGCAUAAUUGGCCGAUUGAGG
This 1612-nucleotide long non-coding RNA is filed under the name Homo sapiens (human). Its description in RNAcentral is "HSALNT0372667". The record is from RNAcentral. Lineage: Eukaryota; Metazoa; Chordata; Mammalia; Primates; Hominidae.